Molecule: long non-coding RNA, 556 nt
Organism: Callorhinchus milii (elephant shark)
Lineage: Eukaryota; Metazoa; Chordata; Chondrichthyes; Chimaeriformes; Callorhinchidae
Exons: 3
Source: RefSeq, a predicted model, not a curated record
CUGCUCUCCACACCACACAAGGGUUUCCAGCAUUCCCACCUAUCUCAUGUUGCACCCGGGUGGUUAAUUACUUCACCAAACACCUGGGGAAACGGGUCACGAAAGUGGAGAUUCAGAAAACUAAUCACUGCACGAUCAAGGCCGUUGUGCUUCACAUACGCAAACGUAAGCUUUGCGUGGAUCCCAAUAACAAGGUUCUGAAAAAGUGGCUGAAGGCGAGAAAGAUCCCCAUGUGAGGGUGUGCGAGCGACGACCAGGACGAGGGGAGGGGAAGGGGAGAUCCCGGAUGGAAGUGAACCCCAACCACGGAAAGCCCACAUGUGCCACUUGCUCCGAGGCCUUCAGUCAUCCAGACACACAGGCCUCUCGCCUACACCUGUCCCGAGCACCAACUGAGCGCAGUGAUUCGGGCAGGACUGCACUUUAAGACACUCACACUGUGAAACGUUCUGUACACGCCUUAUACACGCCUCUUACACACUCUGUACAUGUGUGCAAUGCAAUAUUUAUCACCGUUGUUGGUCAGACCGAUUUAAUAAAUAACAGUUUUUGUUAA